GUGCAGACUUUUCCAGCGAGGCUCAGCCUGCAGUGGCUCUGACCUUUCCUGUAGUGUCUGCUAGAGGGACGUGAGGCUGUUUGAGGCCCUGCUGUGUCUCCUCACGGCAGGGUUAUAGGUAAACCUCCGACACUG
Scatophagus argus is the source of this 135-nucleotide small nucleolar RNA. RefSeq annotates it as small nucleolar RNA SNORA9. The record is from RefSeq and is a predicted model, not a curated record. The transcript has a single exon. Lineage: Eukaryota; Metazoa; Chordata; Actinopteri; Scatophagidae.